RNAcentral lists this ribosomal RNA (497 nucleotides) under uncultured bacterium. RNAcentral describes it as "partial 16S ribosomal RNA". It matches the Rfam family "Bacterial small subunit ribosomal RNA", at positions 28 to 507 of the family's 1533-position model. The record is from RNAcentral.
GAUGAACGCUGGCGGCGUGCCUAAUACAUGCAAGUCGAGCGAACAGACGAGGAGCUUGCUCCUCUGACGUUAGCGGCGGACGGGUGAGUAACACGUGGAUAACCUACCUAUAAGACUGGGAUAACUUCGGGAAACCGGAGCUAAUACCGGAUAAUAUAUUGAACCGCAUGGUUCAAUAGUGAAGGACGGUUUUGCUGUCACUUAUAGAUGGAUCCGCGCCGCAUUAGCUAGUUGGUAAGGUAACGGCUUACCAAGGCAACGAUGCGUAGCCGACCUGAGAGGGUGAUCGGCCACACUGGAACUGAGACACGGUCCAGACUCCUGCGGGAGGCAGCAGUAGGGAAUCUUCCGCAAUGGGCGAAAGCUUGACGGAGCAACGCCGCGUGAGUGAUGAAGGUCUUCGGAUCGUAAAACUCUGUUAUUAGGGAAGAACAAAUGUGUAAGUAACUAUGCACGUCUUGACGGUACCUAAUCAGAAAGCCACGGCUAACUACGUG